Non-coding RNA from Paramuricea clavata, 1449 nucleotides. NCBI's taxonomy places the organism in Eukaryota, Metazoa, Cnidaria, Anthozoa, Malacalcyonacea, Plexauridae. The record is from the annotation of a GenBank genome assembly.
GGAAUUUGCUCGAAGCUAAAAAGUCGAAUAUUUAUCGCUUGUUUCGCCAUUUAGCCGUACUUUAGUACGCAUGUUUACACGAGCGUGCGUAUCGCAAAUUAAUCAUGGCGGACAUACAUAAGACUUUUUUCUUGUCCAUCCUGUUGAUACAUUGACUUACUUCUGCAGUUUGAUAUUGCUAUAUAAAGUUUUGAGACUUCAAUAUUUUAAUUAAAAACGUUUUAAAACGAAAUGGCUGCAGAAUCGACUUUAAAUACAGAUAUAUUGAUACGUAGUAGAGCUUGGAUUCGAUUUUUUGGAUCAGAAAUCCUCAGAAAACUUAUAUUUUGUCCCCCAAGGGUGGGGCAUUUGCGUCAAUGUAAGUCCCCAAGGGUGGGGAUUUUGUUGCAUUAUUUGGACCCCAUACUGGGGCAUUUGCAACGUUUUUUUUCUCCAAAAUGACAAAAGCCCGACAAACGCCCGGGGGGGGGAUGGGCAACCAUGGAAUUGAUUGAGACAUUACUUCUACAAAUAUUUUGAUCGAAGGGAAUGAAAUGUCCGCCAUGUUCAAUUUUUGUAGAUAUGCAUAUCAGGAGUCACCCAAUAUUUUUAUCUGGACAACCACCGAUCAUUUUGCACUCAAAACUACACUCUGUCUGCCCUUCGAAAUAUCAAGAUCACUCAAAACCUUUAAAACAUCUACCAAUCAAUAUUUGGUCAGCAACGAAUACUUUUAUAUGGUUAAUCCCUGUUGUGACGUCACCAAAACUACCACUAAUGAGAUAAGAAAAUUAUCCAAGAUGGCGGUCAUCUCCUUACUUCAAAUGACAAUAUUUCAAGAACUAAGCAAGAUAUGAAAAUCGGUAAAAGAAGUUAAAAUAUAGUUUCAAAAGUUCUUUCAAAUGAGAAAAUAAAAAUUUAUAUUGCCGUUUCCCUUUAAAGUUUUCUUCCUUGUGUUACGUACUCUCUUAUACUCUUUCUUGACACUUUCAUCCACAGAGGCGUUACGUUAAACGAGCCUUGAGUAAGAUUAACAUACGCUAACCUGGUUUUACCCUCUCUUAUUUUGAACACGAACGCUCCCGCGCGCGCGCUUUCACCAAUAGACCUUUCCCAGGAUACGUGUGGCCGCGCGUGAAAGCGAGGCUCUGGCACAGAAUAGGAAGUUAUACCAGAAGCGUAACUCGAGCAUAUAUUUGUCCGCGUUUUUACAAGCGAUUCGUCAUCAAUCACGCCAUCCUGGCUAGUACAACCGGCACUUUGUACCUACCAAAUCCUGAUAAAAACUUCCGGCUGUACUAGCCAGGAUGGCGUGGCCUGACGUGAGCGAGUUAAAAUUUUCCAACCUCGUCCCCAGGGUCUUCCUCGUGGUGGCGCGUGAGCUGAGGAAGACCCUGGUAAAAUACGAUGAAAUCUCCAAGAUUCUUGGAGAUUUAUCGCAUGCGCAGUAACGACAACGUUAUGUUGCUG